RNAcentral lists this ribosomal RNA (623 nucleotides) under Trouessartia rubecula. RNAcentral's name for it is "12S ribosomal RNA". Lineage: Eukaryota; Metazoa; Arthropoda; Arachnida; Sarcoptiformes; Trouessartiidae. The record is from RNAcentral.
AUAGGAAGUAUUAUUUUUUCUAAUGGUUGGAUUUUUAUAAAAUUUGUUUAAAGAUUUAAAGACUAAGUUUGUGCCAGCAGUCGCGGUCAUACUCUAUUUUUUGAAUUUUUUUGGUUUUAAGGUGGGAAAGUUUUUCUAUUUUUAUAAGGUGAUAUUUGAAAAUUAUUUUUUUUUGCCUAAUUCAGUAACUUUAGUAAGGAAUAGGAUUAGAUACCCUAGUACUAAUAAGGAUUAUUAAUAAAGUAGUAAACUAAGAAAGUUAAACUUAAUUCUUUUGGCGGUUUUUCAACCUGUUACAGGAAUUUGUUAAAUUUAAUAGAUAACCCGCUUUUAAAAUUACCUUUUUAAAUUUUAUGUGCGGCUGUUAAGUUUUGGUGUAAUAACUUUUACAAAAAAAGUAUUAUGUUCCUAAUUCAGGUCAAUGUGUAGAGCAUAGAAAGGUUUUUAAUGAGUUACUUUAUUAGGAUUUUGUUAUUAAAUACAAUUUAAUCUGGAUGUAAUAGUAAAUUUAAAAUUAAAUUUUAAAUUGAUGCAGGAUCUGGAAAAAGUACAUAUCGCCCGUCGCUCUUUUGAUAGAUAAGUCGUAACAAAGUAGGAGUACUGGAAGGUUCUCCUUGUUUAGA